Long non-coding RNA from Numida meleagris (helmeted guineafowl), 1394 nucleotides. RefSeq lists it as uncharacterized. Lineage: Eukaryota; Metazoa; Chordata; Aves; Galliformes; Numididae. The transcript is spliced from 2 exons. The record is from RefSeq and is a predicted model, not a curated record.
CUCAGUGGGUCAGGUUGGUUCGAAAGAACCCAUGGUGGAAAGCACGCUACCUACUCACAUCUGGUAGCGAGAUAAGCCUCAGUUUGGACAUACUUCUGUUGCUAAUCAUAGAGUUAUUAAGGUCAGUAAAGACCACUAAGAUCAUCAAGCCCAACCGUCAGUCCCUCCCCACCAUGCCCACUAACUGUGUCCCUCUGUGCCACAUCUCCACCUUCCUUGGACACCUCCAGGGACGCUGCCCCGCGGCCUCCCUGGAACGACAUGUCAUCGUCACACAUUCAGCUUUUUCUCAACUAAACAAGAAGACCGAGUUGAUUCAGCGUUUAACGAGCGAAGUGAUGAGCUUGGCUGCUUCUAGAAAGUUGCAGAGAAGAGAUGUGCCUGAGAACGAGGGCAUGAAAUAAAAACGACUUUUCAAGAGAGAUGGAAAGAUGACUGUGAUACAGUAGUCCUGCAGGCACGCUCCUGUGCUUUAAAUGCAAGUGAAAACAAAAGAGCUCCAGUUAAAGACGGGCUGUUCAAAGUGAAAGCCCCAAUCCAGUAGUUGGAAGAUAAGCUGCUUUCUUCAGCCUGCGUGCAGAUAGUUGAUUAAAGAAACAGAUGUAGAAUUGUGUAUGCAUAACCAGAAUUAAUUACUUUCUUCUUUUACUGCGGUGAACUCUUGUGUUCAAGAGCUGCAGUUUGUCUUCGUCUCUGCAUGAAAGGGGUUUAUUCCACAGCUUAUCAAGCAUGGGCAGCUUAAUUUUUAACUACCAUGUGAAGCUAUUUAUUGCAUGGCAAGGUAGGAAAUCACUGGAAGUGAACUGGGGACACUGGAAGGGAGAGAGCAAGGAAAAGGGUUAAGUGCAAAACAUUUGAAUGUGGCUGUUCCCAGCGCAAUCAGAUCCUGAAAUUUGUGUGCAUCUUGUGCUGCCCUGUACGUGGAUGGAAGUAACCUUGGAGCUCAUCUGCGUGCACUGCAUCGUGCAGGUGAGAGCAGCAGCGUGAUGUGAAGCCUGCCUUGCACAGCUCUGCCUGCUCUGGGGCGUUUGCCACAUGCCACCCCUGGCUGGAAUGCAGGGAAGAAAAAAGGGAGCUGCUCUGAGAGAACUGGGAUCUCUGCUUUGUCCUUUGUCCCGAAGGACGGAGGGGCUGUAGCAUGCUCUUGGAAAGGAGGAAGCAGAAUUAGGCUGAAACUAGCACUGCAGAUCACAGGGAGCUAGAAGUGGCCCGUGAAAGCACUGAGACCUAAUUUGGAAAAAAGAAAAGAUGAAGAAUUGGUGUCUACAGUUUGUUCUGCUGGGCAGUAGCCCAGUAGUGGUCAUGCUUCCCUUCACCAUGGUACUUACGUAUUAAUUUUGAUUUAUGUGACAUUUGCCUGUCAGCCUUAAAGGAAUAAAGGCGCUUUAAAUUAC